This 3739-nucleotide long non-coding RNA is filed under the name Erythranthe guttata (spotted monkey flower). RNAcentral's name for it is "long non-coding RNA (EGUT_LNC000960)". Lineage: Eukaryota; Viridiplantae; Streptophyta; Magnoliopsida; Lamiales; Phrymaceae. The record is from RNAcentral.
AACAAUGGCAGCUGCAUCACCUUCAUCAAUCUCCUUCUUUUCCUCCACAAUUUUCCUAUCCAAUCAAAACCCUUCUUCCUCAAACCUCCGUUUCCUCAAACCCCAUCCCAACCCUAGACUCCGAGCCUCCACCACCACCAUCCACUCCGAGCUCACCACUCUCCCAGUCCUCUCCUUCGAAGGAACCGAGGUCGGCUCCGCCACUCUCAACCUCAAGUCCGCCCACCUCCGACACCGCCCGCUCCGUCGUCCACCGCGGCAUCACCACCGACCUCACCAACCGCCGCCGCGGUACCGCCUCCACCCUCACCCGCGCGGAGGUCCGCGGUGGAGGGAGGAAGCCCUACCCACAGAAAAAAACCGGCGGCGCCCGCCGUGGUUCCCAGAGGACCCCCCUCCGGCCCGGCGGCGGUGUCAUCUUCGGGCCGAAGCCCAAAGACUGGUCUGUCAAGAUGAACAAGAAGGAGAAGAGACUCGCCCUCUCCACCGCCAUCUCCAGCGCGGCGGAGAACACCUUCGUGGUCGAGGAUUUCGAUGACAAGUUCGAGAAGCCGAAGACGAAGGAAUUCAUUGCAAUGCUGAAUAGAUUGGGCCUCGACCCGAAGAAGAAGGCCACUUUCUUGAUGACUCAAGUCUCGGACAACGUUAGACUGUCGGCCAGGAAUCUCGGCACGUUGAAAAUGCUGACGCCGAGGACUUUGAAUCUGUUCGAUAUUUUGGAUGCCGAGAAUUUGGUCCUCACGAAAGGAGCUUUGGAGUUCUUGAACGAUAGGUACGGGUUGGAGGACGAUGAAAUUUACGAGGAAGAGGGUGAUUUCGAAGAAGAAGAAGAAGAAGGUAACUAACUCCUUUGGGCUUUUUUUAUUUUAUGACGAAGAAUUUGAAUUUAUAUCUUUAAGUUCAUAAUACUUGUGAUCGAAUUUGUAUCUUGUGCUGCUGGAUUAGAAAUCGAGGGAUGUAGUUCUUGAAAAAAGCAGGGCUUUUGGUUUUGAAUAGAUUGUCUAACAAUGUAGGUUGAAAAGCCGAAUGCGGGUGUGACCGUACUUAUAACUAUAUUCACUUUAUUUGUGACGAUCGUGUUGAGCAAAUUGAUAUCUGAAAGUUCAGAAAACUUAUGAAGUGGGAAAAGAUUGGGAAAAUAUAAAAUAAAUUGACAGCUGAAAGUAAGAUUUAGUGCUUCCCGGAUUGAGACGAAAGUAUAAAUUGAAGGAGGCACUGAUCGUCAUGUUAAUGUAUUAAUCGUCGUUUUUCACUAGACAAAGUAUCGGCUUUAUAAUUGAUAUUCAACACACUUAAUAUAUAUAUAUAUAUCUUUAUUUUAUCAAAGACUUGAAAUGCCAGUAAUGUAAGAUAGAGCAGCUUAUAUUUUUACUGCAUGUCUCUGAUUGGUGUAUAUGUCGUUAGAACUGAACUUGGGGGGUUUCUGGUUAGGAAUCUAGAUUUUCGUGUUUCGAUGUUACGAAGGAUAAAUCGAUUGUUACCAAUUUGUAUUAUCAGAGAUGAGUUGUCAAUGGAAAUUAUGCAAAUAGUUUAAAGUGGAAUGAUUAUAAAAACGGCAGUUCACAAACUAGUAGUAACAGAUGGUAGAUCGGCACUGGUGGUUUCGUAGGAAUUGGCUCGAAUAUAUAUAUAUAUAUAUAUAUAUAUAUAUAUAUAUAUAUAUAUAUAUCGUUGAUUCUUAUUUAUAUCUCUUACAUUGUGAUCAGGAACUGAGGUUGAAGAAGCCCCUGAGUCGUCUGAGUGAUGCUACGCUGGUUGAUCGUUCAGUCGACAAUUAUCUCAAGUUCAUCCUUUUGCUUUUACCCUUUCAAUUGUAUGUCAUUUAAGUAUUUUGCAAUUAGUUAGUCGACAAUGUUUUGUAGGAUGCUUGAUGAUGCGGUGAUUCACACUACACUGUUUUCCUGGUAAAUUUUUAUGUUAAUCGAUCUAUAGAGAAAUUUUGUCUCCGUCUGAUUUAUCGUUUACUUAAUUUUUUAAACUCGACAUAAUGGUUGUGCUGAUUGAUUAAUGUGUUGUGUAUGAUCUUCAUAACUUACUUUUCGUAAUUCCAUUCUCCUUUAAAAAAAAGAAAAAGAAUUGUUCCCGCACGUAAUAACGAAUACAAAGAUGAGUCUAUAUUUUGCGAACAAACUCCCAGUCGGAAUAUCAGUUUCAUAAAAUGCAUUUAAUUUGUGUAGAAAAACACGAAUUAGUAAAGUGUAAUAAGUGUAAUAAGUGUUAAACCAGAACGGGAUUGGAACGACAUGAAUUAUUUAAUUAACUUAAUUGCUCUUCUCUGGACUAAGAAUACUACUGUCGAUCUUCUUAUUUGCUCGUCAAACAAUAUUGAUGCUACUGUUUGCGAGAAUAAUUCGGGAACAAAGUGGCGUUUUACUGGGUUCUACGGUGUAGCGAACCAAACUCGUAGGGAUCAAUCGUGGGCUGUAUUGCGCAAUUUUUCAGCCUCAGUGCUCGUUGCCAUGGCUUAGCUUGUAGGUGGAGAUUUCAACGUAAUUUUAAGCAACUCAGACAAAACUGGGGGAAAUACUCGUUCCAGUCGGGUAGAAGCAUUUAAGGAGGUGCUCGAUAAAUGUAAUUUGUCUGAUAUCGGUUUCUGUGGAGGUCCAUUCACAUGGUCUAACAACCAGAAAGUCAAUUAGACCGAUGUUGUGCCACAAGUUCAUGGAUCUCGUUGUUCCCAAAUGUCUGUGUUCAUCAUUUAGAGAGUAUUGGUUUGGGCCAUAAUGCACAAUUACUGAAGUUUCAACGAAUAACAGCUACGAACGGUUAUCGAGUGCAUCGACCGUUUUGUUUUGAGGCAUUUUGGAUUCGUAGAGAGGAAUGUGAAUCUAUUGUCCCAAAGUAGUGGUCUGACAUUGGUGAAACAGAUCCUUCUGUUGAGUUUAUUUUGAAAGUGGAGAGCUGUUGUCUUGAAUUAAUAAAAAAUGGAGUAACACUACUCUUCAAAAACUUAAGGAUCAAAUUGCUUUUAUUAAAGAUCGUCUCCGCAUUCUGCAAGAGGGCGUACGAGACUAGGGGAGGAAAGGCCGUUGAGGCUCAUUCUCUCCGAGGGGAACUUGAGAAAUUAUACGAAAAUGAAUAUACGUACUGGAGAUAAAAGAAGUCUGAAAGAAUUCAAUGCCUCCAAAUUAUCUUAACAAAGAAAUCACAAGUUGAUUUCUCCGCAAACCAAUUCCUAAUUACUAAACAAAAGCCAAAACACAAUAAUGUUUUUUAUAGAGUAUUCCCCUCUCUUUUUCAGUCCGACCACAAUCCUGAUGCCCCACCCCUUCUAAUCUCCAUGACCUCUUCACCAAGAUUAUAUUGAUCUGACAUGAGAUUAGACACGGCCAUGGGCCGGUUCGGGCCGGUUCACUCCGGUUCGCGGUUCACUUUUUCCGGAAUCGGAACCGGCCCGUACUACACACGGUUCGGCGGGCUGGGUCGGCCCGCCGGUUCGAUCCGGUUCCGGGCCGGCUUGGAAAUUUAUAUUUAUAUAAAUAUAUAUAUUUUUUUUAAAUACUUGAUGGAUAAAUAAAUUAAAAGAAUUACUUUUAAAUAGGAAAAAACAAAAGAAAAUAAAUAAAAGGACUUGAACUUAAUUUUAUAGGAAAAAAAAGGGGUGUGAGCGUAUUUAUAGGAAAAAUUGGGGGAAAAAUUCAAAAAAGAGCACAUAACGGGCGGUUCACCAGGCCGGUUCAGCUUUUUUCAGCUUUUUUUUUAAUUUCUUUUUUCAAAUUCGGGUGAACCGCCGGGCCGG